GUGCUUGCUUUGGCAGCACAUAUAAUAAAAUUAGAACGAUAGAGAGAGGAUUAGUAUGGCCCUUGUGCAAGGAUGACACACAAAUUCGUGGAGUGAAAAAAAUAUGA
Molecule: small nuclear RNA, 107 nt
Organism: Artibeus jamaicensis (Jamaican fruit-eating bat)
Lineage: Eukaryota; Metazoa; Chordata; Mammalia; Chiroptera; Phyllostomidae
Source: RefSeq, a predicted model, not a curated record